CACUCUCUCCUUCCCUGCCUCUCUCCUGCUUCUCAGUCCUCGUGUCCUAACAUGGAUUCCACGCUCCACCUGGAAUCCCAAAUACGAUAAACCCUAGAUUCACAGAUCAUAAAUCACAACACUACACGAAAUAUGCAUAGAUCUGGAGCUGCUAUGGCUUGGAACGUAUUCAAGUUUUGUACGGCCCUACGUGGCCUAGGCUCGAUCAUGAUCCUGUUGGUGCUUGGGGUUGUGGGUGUCACCUAUUACGCCGUUGUGUUGACCAAUUAUGGCCCCGCUUUGUAUGAUAGCGGGCUUGAUUCUGUCACUGCUCUUGCUCUCUUGAUCCCAUUUCAUUGUUUGUUGGUGAU
This 350-nucleotide unclassified non-coding RNA is filed under the name Hevea brasiliensis (rubber tree). Lineage: Eukaryota; Viridiplantae; Streptophyta; Magnoliopsida; Malpighiales; Euphorbiaceae. The record is from RNAcentral.